UGGCGGACGGGUGAGUAACGCGUGGGCAACCUGCCCCGUGCCGGGGGAUACCGCCUGGAAACAGGCGCUAAUACCGCAUAAGCGCAUACAGCCGCAUGGCAGUAUGCGGAAAGCUCCGGCGGCACGGGAUGGGCCCGCGCCCGAUUAGCCAGUUGGCGGGGUAACGGCCCACCAAAGCGACGAUCGGUAGCCGGCCUGAGAGGGCGGACGGCCACAUUGGGACUGAGACACGGCCCAAACUCCUACGGGAGGCAGCAG
This 258-nucleotide ribosomal RNA is filed under the name uncultured bacterium. Its description in RNAcentral is "partial 16S ribosomal RNA". It matches the Rfam family "Bacterial small subunit ribosomal RNA", at positions 96 to 354 of the family's 1533-position model. The record is from RNAcentral.